GAUGAAGAACGCAGCGAAAUGCGAUAAGUAAUGUGAAUUGCAGAAUUCAGUGAAUCAUCGAAUCUUUGAACGCACAUUGCGCCCGCUAGUAUUCUGGCGGGCAUGCCUGUCCGAGCGUCAUUUCAACCCUCAAGCCCCCGGGCUUGGUGUUGGGGAUCGGCGAGCCUCCGCGCCCGCCGUCCCCUAAAUCUAGUGGCGGUCUCGCUGUAGCUUCCUCUGCGUAGUAGCACACCUCGCACUGGGAAACAGCGCGGCCACGACGUUAAACCCCCAACUUCUGAACGUUUGACCUCGGAUCAGGUAGGAAUACCCGCUGAACUUAAGCAUAUCAAUAAGCGGAGGA
RNAcentral lists this unclassified non-coding RNA (343 nucleotides) under soil metagenome. RNAcentral's name for it is "partial contains 5.8S ribosomal RNA, internal transcribed spacer 2, and large subunit ribosomal RNA". The stretch from base 1 to 120 matches the Rfam family "5.8S ribosomal RNA", at positions 35 to 154 of the family's 154-position model. The record is from RNAcentral.